UGCAGUCGAGGGGCAGCACAGGUAGCAAUACUGGGUGGCGACCGGCAAACGGGUGCGGAACACGUACGCAACCUUCCUUUAAGCGGAGAAUAGCCCAGGGAAACUUGGAUUAAUACUCCAUAAGAUAGUGGUGUGGCAUCACACUGUUAUUAAAGCUCCGGCACUUAAAGAUGGGCGUGCGACUGAUUAGGUAGUUGGCGGGGUAACGGCCCACCAAGCCAACGAUCAGUAACUGGUGUGAGAGCACGACCAGUCACACGGGCACUGAGACACGGGCCCGACUCCUACGGGAGGCAGCAGUAAGGAAUAUUGGUCAAUGGACGCAAGUCUGAACCAGCCAUGCCGCGUGGAGGAUGAAGGCCCUCUGGGUUGUAAACUUCUUUUAUUGGGGAAGAAACCUGUUUUUUCUAAAGCAGUUGACGGUACCCGAUGAAUAAGCACCGGCUAACUCCGUGCCAGCAGCCGCGGUAAUACGGAGGGUGCAAGCGUUAUCCGGGUUCACUGGGUUUAAAGGGUGCGUAGGUGGGCAGGUAAGUCAGUGGUGAAAUCUCCGGGCUUAACCCGGAAACUGCCGUUGAUACUAUCUGUCUUGAAUAUAGUGGAGGUGAGCGGAAUAUGUCAUGUAGCGGUGAAAUGCUUAGAUAUGACAUAGAACACCGAUUGCGAAGGCAGCUCGCUACACUAUCAUUGACACUGAGGCACGA
Molecule: ribosomal RNA, 704 nt
Filed under: uncultured Bacteroidota bacterium
Lineage: Bacteria; Pseudomonadati; Bacteroidota
Description: bacterial SSU rRNA
Rfam family: Bacterial small subunit ribosomal RNA
Source: RNAcentral